AACGAACGCUGGCGGCAUGCCUAACACAUGCAAGUCGAACGAAGGCUUCGGCCUUAGUGGCGCACGGGUGCGUAACGCGUGGGAACCUGCCCCUCGGUUCGGAAUAACAGUUAGAAAUGACUGCCAAUACCGGAUGGAUGACUUCGGUCCAAAGAUUUAUCGCCGAGGGAUGGGCCCGCGUAGGAUUAGCUUGUUGGUGGGGUAAAGGCCUACCAAGGCGACGAUCCUUAGCUGGUCUGAGAGGAUGAUCAGCCACACUGGGACUGAGACACGGCCCAGACUCCUACGGGAGGCAGCAGUGGGGAAUAUUGGACAAUGGGCGAAAGCCUGAUCCAGCAAUGCCGCGUGAGUGAUGAAGGCCUUAGGGUUGUAAAGUCCUUUUAACGGGGAAGA
This 393-nucleotide ribosomal RNA is filed under the name uncultured bacterium. RNAcentral describes it as "bacterial SSU rRNA". It matches the Rfam family "Bacterial small subunit ribosomal RNA", at positions 29 to 448 of the family's 1533-position model. The record is from RNAcentral.